UCGAGUGGCAGCCGGCCAUAUUCUAUCAGAGGGACGCCCGUGGGAAACUCCUUCUGCGGUAUGGGCGUGACACCGUCGUGGUGAAGACUCUCGCAGAAGUCUUCAAUUUCACUCUCGUCUACGUCGAGGUUCCCUCAGACGAACUUUUCGGAUACUUGCUGCCCAACGGGACCUUCUGCGGCCUGGUGGGAUACCUCGGGAGGGACCUGGGUGAGAUGGGGAUCGCAAACCUCUAUACCUCUGGAAUCGAGGACCGCCACAAAUUCCAGGAUUACAGCACGCAUUUCUCGGAGGACCAAGGAUGCUUUCUCGGCCGGGUCGACCCACCUUUACCAAGAUGGCAGAAUCCAACUUUACCCUUCACGACAACGACCUGGAUCGCUUUCUUGGUGGGCUUCGUGAUCUCUGGGCCAAUCCUUUACUUAUUGUCCAUUUUCAGUGC
Macrobrachium nipponense is the source of this 442-nucleotide long non-coding RNA. RefSeq lists it as uncharacterized. The transcript is spliced from 3 exons. NCBI's taxonomy places the organism in Eukaryota, Metazoa, Arthropoda, Malacostraca, Decapoda, Palaemonidae. The record is from RefSeq and is a predicted model, not a curated record.